AUUCACACAUCAAAUAAAAUCAUUGGUUGAGGAUCAUAAUGCUCACCAACUUGAGGGUGUUGAUAGUAGUCAAGAAAGGUCCAUAUUCGAAGGAGAAAUUGAGCUUCAUGAUGAGAUAUUAAAAAUUGAACAUCCGCCAACCAACUCUAUGCUUAUUGGACAUGCCGGAGAAGAAAGGAAAUUAGAUUCAAUCGGUGUCAUGGAAAAUGUUGAAAUUGACUCUAGUUCAUUUGGGAGUGAGGAUGUCAAAGAUAGAGCAAAUUUAAAAAUGGAGCGUCUUGGACCGCAUUCCAACCAUUUUCAACAUUGUACUAACCGAGCCUAUGGAGGAUUUUGAAAAUGAAGAAGAAAGCAUUUUCAUUUUGGAGUUUGUCAUGUUAAGAAGACAGAAUGACAUGCCUCACUUAAAGACCAAAAAAUGCAAAAUGGGAUACUCGAGAGUUGGCCUCCUUGCUUUCCUACCACCGCCUCACGAGCAUCACCGGAAUCUUGAUUCAAAGUUGGGCCGAAAAUUCAUAUUAUCAAAGUGGAGGAAAAAGUGGUAAAGUUAACUCAUGUCGUGCCGCGACGUUAAAUCAAGCGCUUGGUGGGAGACAACCCAUCGUUUCCAAAAUUCUAAGUCAUUUUUGAAGUUUUAUUUUUUAGAAAGUUUAUCAUAUUAUUUUUGACAAUUCUACCAAAUUUCACAAUUUUUGGAAUUGAUUUAGAUAGGAUUUUGAGCGUUUGGUAUGGCUGCAUAGGCUAAAAAAUGCACAAACUGCUUCUGCAUAUUAAAUGAGCACACGAGGCAGUGCACUAGGCAUAGCGAGCCCUUCCCUUGUGCGUAAGUUUUUUUUUUUUUUUUUUAAAUAUUUGAACACUUCACAUCUUACCUCUGCCCCAUCGACCCUACUCAAACCAUAACACACGCACAACGGAAACAAAAGAAGCCAGUAACGAAAACAAUUCUUUAUUUUCGUUGUUCUUCUACAGCCAUAAUUCUCAGCAAUUCAGGUUGAAGGGAAGUGCUUAACUUUGACCAAGAGAAUGAUAAUAUCCACAAAGGAAACUUUCAGUGCCUUAUGGUUGAUCAAUAGAGGAUGACGGGAUCUACAGGAAGCAUAAGGAAAGUCAUAAAUUAUGAUCUCUUAAUGGAACAUGUAACCUUGAAUGGCUGAAAUGAUUUUCAAAGGGAGGCAUGCAUAGCCGUCCCCUUUAAUUACUAUUUUGUUCAUUCUAACAUAAAAGUGGAUAAGCUUAUGUACUUUUUGAAUUCGUAAUCUUUGGUAAUCCUUGAUAUAUACUUUAAUGUUUUA
Molecule: long non-coding RNA, 1295 nt
Organism: Lycium barbarum (goji berry)
Lineage: Eukaryota; Viridiplantae; Streptophyta; Magnoliopsida; Solanales; Solanaceae
Exons: 2
Source: RefSeq, a predicted model, not a curated record